This is a long non-coding RNA of Thalassophryne amazonica, 149 nucleotides long. RefSeq lists it as uncharacterized. The transcript has 3 exons. The record is from RefSeq and is a predicted model, not a curated record. Lineage: Eukaryota; Metazoa; Chordata; Actinopteri; Batrachoidiformes; Batrachoididae.
AAAUAUAUCCUUCCAAAAGUAAAAUUUAAUCUGCUGGAAUAGCAUUUGAUCCCAGUCCAAAUAGAGUCAAUUAUACACUAUUACAGAACUAAAUCAACUCAAAACAGCUGUAAAAUCAACUCUUAUUGGAGUAAAACCACUUGGAUUGA